Molecule: ribosomal RNA, 254 nt
Filed under: uncultured bacterium
Lineage: Bacteria
Description: partial 16S ribosomal RNA
Rfam family: Bacterial small subunit ribosomal RNA
Source: RNAcentral
UACAGAGGGUGCAAGCGUUAAUCGGAUUUACUGGGCGUAAAGGGCGCGUAGGCGGCCACCGCAAGUCGAUUGUGAAAUCUCCGGGCUUAACCCGGAAAGGUCAACCGAUACUGCGGGGCUAGAGUGCAGAAGGGGCAACUGGAAUUCUCGGUGUAGCGGUGAAAUGCGUAGAUAUCGAGAGGAACACCUGCGGCGAAGGCGGGUUGCUGGGCUGACACUGACGCUGAAGUGCGAAAGCUAGGGGAGCGAACGGG